Non-coding RNA from Paramuricea clavata, 887 nucleotides. NCBI's taxonomy places the organism in Eukaryota, Metazoa, Cnidaria, Anthozoa, Malacalcyonacea, Plexauridae. The record is from the annotation of a GenBank genome assembly.
CAUGUAUAUUAAAAUUUACUUUUUAAUUAGAUAAUUAUUCAUAAACGCUAAAUCCGUCACGUGUGGGACAAAAACAUUUAUAUAUGAACAUUUAUGCGGGAUCAUUUAUGAAUAUAAAAUCCAGUCGUGAUACCACAAACUCUUACAACUUAAGUGCUAUUUUUAUCGUUGAACUUUAGUUUUGGCCGUUACGACUAUAAGGCAAUAUCUACAGUGCUUAAAGUACUGUUUCAAAAACUCAUUAAUAAUUCAGGAGCAAAACACAAAGAAAAAUCAUAUAAGCGUGUCGUGGUUUUAUAUGUGAUAACAAAUCACGUUAAUUUACAUAUUAAACUUUAGCUUUAAUGUGAUUUUCUCGGUUUAGACAAAGUUUAUUUUAAAAAAUGAACUCGUAUAACAUGAGUCGCCAAUGAACUCGUAUAACAUUAGUCGUUUUUGAAGCUAUUUAAAGUCCUACGCGUGCUUUAAACAGUGGGUCUAGCUAUUUUGCGGGCCGCGGGCUGCGGGUCAGUUUUUGCGGGCUGCGGGUCAGUUUUUGCGGGCUGCGGGUUAAAACAAUUGCGGGCCGCGGGCCAAAUUGCUGGCCUAACUAUUUUUUUGUUGCAUGCCAUAUAUGGCAUGCAACCUUCAUAUAGCUCUAAAUUUCGUGUCGCGGUGAGCGUACCGGUCACGUGGAAAUUCGUAAAAUACGACAAAUACCGAGUUUUUCCGACAAGCAAUUCAUCACUCAUGCUCGAGGAAAGGGAAAGAAAAAUGUUUGAGUGUUCGCGGAAAAUAUACAUAAUUGAGCGCCUUAGAAAAAUAGAUCAAGGUAGGUAAAGCUUUGCUGGUUUUUAUUUUCCUUAUAUUCUGUUAUUUGUUGUGAUUCUGGAGCAGUUGUGCUCGCA